This is a long non-coding RNA of Gasterosteus aculeatus aculeatus (three-spined stickleback), 2670 nucleotides long. The record is from Ensembl. Lineage: Eukaryota; Metazoa; Chordata; Actinopteri; Perciformes; Gasterosteidae.
CACUCACACACACACACACACACACACACACACACACACACACACACACACACACAGUGCUGUCUGGACUCUGGACUGGGUCGGAGGUGAAAUCUCUCAGACUGAUCAGACAAACAGAGAGCUCCUGACCUUUGACCUUCACAGGGAGCUCUGGUUGACCAACAGUCCAGCAGAGGCCUUCAGAGGCUCCUUAAGGGACCAUUUGUCUCUCAUGACCAACGACUUUGAACCCGUCGGUGGACUUCAACACCACCUCUACACACGUAUGCGGGCCAAUAGACAGGCUGGUUUGUGGUCAUGUGACCUUCCUGCUCUGUAACUGCACAGAUGAAUUAUGGGAUUGGAUAAUUGCUUGAUGUCGUCUCAGCGGCCCAGCAGGAGGUGGGUUAGCGCUGCAGCUAACGCUAGCAUUGGGAGGAAGUCUCACAUGAGACUGAUGAGGUCACAUGAUUCACUGCAUCCUCAUGCUCACAAAGAGGACCAGGUCAGUUUCUAUCAGAUGCUGCAAGGAAUCCUGGGACGCGUCAGAGUGGGAUCAAUAACAACUAUAUAACCGUGGUGACGAUAAUGAAGAACAACAACAUGUGACAUGUGACCAACAACAACAACGAGGUCUCAUGAAGACAGAGAACACAGCAACGUUAUUAACCCUCAACUGGACCCCCCAUGUGUGUUUGAGGCAGCUGUUUAACCCCAAACCAGCAGAGACCAGGUCUAGGUGGGGGUCUGCUGGCCUUCGGGUUGAUGACUGCCCAGGGACCUUUGAGCAACACUUGAGCGUGUCGCUCAUGUGACCUCUACUCGCCUGUCUGUCCUGACGAGUUCAGCGGUGGGGGCUAAAUGUUACCUCAUAGUCUCUUGGGGUGUGUGUGUGUGUGUGUCUGUGUGUGUGUGUGUGUGUGUGUGUCUGUGUGUGUGUGUGUGUGUAUGUCUGUGUGUGUGUGUGUGUGUGUGUAUAUGUCUGUGUGUGUGUGUGUAUAUGUGUGUGUAUUUGUGUGUCUGUAUGUGUGUGUGUGUGUGUCUGUGUGUGUGUGUCUGUGUGUGUAUGUGUGUGUCUGUGUGUGUGUGUGUGUGUGUGUGUAUAUGUGUGUGUGUAAAUGUGUGUGUAUGUGUGUGUCUGUAUGUGUGUGUGUAUAUGUGUGUGUGUGUCUGUGUGUGUGUGUAUGUGUGUGUCUGUGUGUGUGUGUGUGUGUGUGUGUGUAUAUGUGUGUGUGUGUGUGUGUGUGUGUGUGUGUGUCUGUGUGUGUGUGUGUGUGUGUGUGUAGCCAUUCAGAUCCACCAGCCUGAGGUGGUGAUAAUCUCAGCCAAUCAGGUCAAAGGAGGGAUGGACGACGUCCAAGUGGAGACAUGAAGGUCAGACUGGGUAAGGCGGCUCCUGCUCUCUGAUUGGCUCACAGUUUUUAACCCUCUGAUUGGCUCAGUGUCCCUGAACGCAUCGCGACCCUCACAGUGGUCUUUAUCUGUGCAUAAUUCACCUAUAACAUCUCGUCGUUUCCUCUCAUCUAUACUGAUCACUGAUUGGUCAGCGCUGACAACCUGAGUAAACUACCUCAACCCAUCAAUAAUAAUAACAUAUAAGUAGUAAUGGUGAGUUACUCUGCGUCAGUAGAGGAGGAGGAGACGUGAUGUUCACAUCAAACCAGAGAUUUUCCUUCUCAGAGCUGCUCUUCAGUCAGGUUAGUCAUCAGAUUACAUCUGAUGAUUAUAACAUAGAAUAAUCUUCUUCUUCUUCUUAUUGGGCGGCGUGUUGUGAUGAUAUGAGAUCUUUAACCGUUCUGAAGGGAACGAUGGUCCACCGGACAUCAACACCUUCUCCUUCUACCUCUACUUCUCCUUCUCCUUCUCCAACUCCUUCUUCCUCUCUCUCUUCUUCUCCAAUCUCCAAUUGUCUCAAUCAAUGAGCAUUAAAGCACAUCAUGGCCGACAGAUGGAAGUGUGGACGUUACUUUUCGCUCGUCGAAAUUAAAGACAGAAAUGUGGUGAGUUGUAACUUCUGUGCAGGUGCAAAGAAGAUCCACAUCUAAGAGAAGCGAUUCAAACCUUCCUGUUGAGCGACGCGCUUAGACAAAGCUGGACUCUGGCGGAAACAAAUGUAUCUACAGAGCUGCUAAGAGAAAAUCAGGAAUCAGGAAACAUUUGUUUGCCAAAAUAUGUCAAACAUACAAGGAAUUUGUCUUGGCGGUUAGUGCGCGACAGUAGACCGACAAGACAGCAGUGCACAAGUAAUAAAAUAACGUAGAAUGAAAUGCUAAUGCAAUGGGUUAGUAGAAUAAGGCUAAGGCUAUGGGUUAGUAUAAAACAAGGGAAUAAAGUUACAAAUUUUAAAUAUUAAAAAGUUAUAAAGAAAAACAUUAAGCAUAAAGUGCACUAACGAACAAGUAACAGACAAGAGACAAAGUGACGAGUGACGACAAAGUGAUGAAUUGCAGUUAAAGUGACAUGUGCAGUAUGAGGGGGAGUGACCGGUGGAAUGUCAGAGUCAGUCAGUGGGGGACCGGCUCUGUUGAUGAGCCCGACUGCCGACGGGAAGAAACUGUUGGUGUGGCGGGAGGUCUUAGUCCUGAUGGACCUCAGCCUCCUGCCAGAUGGAAGGGGCACAAACAGGUUUUGUCCGGGGCGAGAGGGGUCGGCUACCAUCUUUUUAGCUGCUUCAGAGACCUGGAAGCGAAC